Urocitellus parryii (Arctic ground squirrel) is the source of this 522-nucleotide non-coding RNA. The record is from RefSeq and is a predicted model, not a curated record. NCBI's taxonomy places the organism in Eukaryota, Metazoa, Chordata, Mammalia, Rodentia, Sciuridae.
CCUCGCCUUUUGUAAAAACCUCGUGACGCACAUCUCGGGCGCGCCUCUGCGGCACAGCCGGUGCAUGUCGGGCCUUGACCGCUGGAGCCCCAUGUCCCGCCCCGGAAGGAGAUGCCAAUUUUAGGGCCUAAGUGACCCGUCCUUCCGGCCCCAGCGCUGGGCUCCCUGGACAUUUCGGGGGGUCACCAGGUGGAAUCUGGAUGAUGGACUGCGCGACGGCCGGCCUCACGCUCAUCGUGGCCCUAGUUUGAAUGCUGUUUCGGACACUUUAUACAGCAAGAUCGCAAACAUGGGAGCUCUGAGACAUGUCAGAUAAAAGAUCAAGGUUUAGAAAAAUGUGUAUAGUGUUCUGUUUGUGUGAAUAAAGGGAGGAUAAGGAAUAUAUCUGCAUGUAAAUGUUGGACUGUUCCAAGUACACAGAGCAUCUCUGCAAGAAACUAUUAACACUUCCUCUGAGGAGGAAGAGAGGAGGUCAAGGGUGGAAAGACAGGUUCUCAUCAAGUUGCUUAGGGCCUUGCUAAG